GCCCAUUUCUCUUCAUUAUGGUUGGCCUCACCAAGGAGAAGCAAGAAAAAGGAAGAACAAAACCCUAGGUGGAAAAAUUCAAGGGAAAAGUGUGAAAAUUCAAGGAAACAAGUGAAAAAAAAGUAAGAUUUUUCAAUUUAAGCUUGAGAUCUCUCUUUCUUAAGCAUUUUUUUCUUAUUUUUCAUGGUUGAAUCACAUGAAAUCAUGAUGAAUUCCUUGCUGGCCGAACACUUAGAGGGAGGUUUUGAUGCUUGAUUUGGUUAGAUUUCAAUGUAUUUUAGUAUUUUUAGUUAGUUAGUGAUGUGUAGCAUGAAAAGCCAACAAGAAAAAUUCACUUCCUCCCAUCACCCAUCAUUGGCCGAAUCUUCCAUGUAGAGUGUGUAUGGUGGAUUUGAUUUUAUUUCAAGUGAAUUGGUUAGAAAAUGAUGAAUUACGGUGAGAAAAUCAAGUAAGAAAAAUCAUAGUGUUAAUGCACCUACCAUGGCCGAAAUUUCGAAGAGAAAAUGUGAAGAUGAUUUUGCUAAAUUUUAUGCUAUUUGAUAUGUGUUUGAUGGUUUGGAGAAUUGGAAGAAAAAUGGAGUUAAUUGGAGUUGAAUUGGACAUAUUGGCCAAUUAAUCGAGUGAUAGAUCGAAUUAGGCCUAUACCGUUUUAUUUAGGUACACAAUUGAAUUUGUGUAAAACACCAUGUUUAGACGAUAAUCUGAACAAUUUGCAUUCCAUUUCAUGCAUCCAUAUAGUUUUAUAACGGUUUAGCACCAAUGUGGUAAAUUACUUGAUUAUGCAUUAUGUUUAGGUGGUGAAUCCUCCGAUAAGGGUAAAGAGAUAGUACCCAAGGAUCAAGAAUCGGAGUACUCGGAACUCGAUUUCCAUUACAGUGAGUAACCUUAUUAUCGUCUUAAUUACCUGAAGUAGUUUUUAUUCAUUUUUGUGAUUUGAUAGAAAAAUGAGUUUAAAUGGUAAAUCUUUAUGUUUUAUAAGCAAAAUGUGAUUAAAUGAAAUGAUUUUAUAAAAUUGUCUUGAAAUUGAAAGAUGGUUUUGAAAAUGUAGAGAUUGGAGACUAAUUACUGUGUUAUAAAUCAUGGUUUGAAUUGAAUGGCUUAUGAUAAUAUUGGCAUGAAUGGUUGAAUUGGUAAAUGUGCUGAAAAUGUAUAAACUAUUGUUUUCCUUGAUAGGCUGGAUAAUGAUAAAACUGCCAUGUCAUGCUAUUGAAUUUUUAUUGUAUGGUGGGUUUAGCUUGCUACAAUGGACGGGUUCUGUGGACUAGCCUUUUUAAGGGGCACAAAAUCCCAUUAUAUCUUACCUUGGUUGGGGAGGCGCGUAAGGUAACUCUCGAGAUAAAACUUUAGAGUUCACUUCACGUUGAACCACCACGUGAGGGUGAACUCAGCCAACGCCAAAGAACGGCUAUGUUUUCAAAAUAAAAACAUGAUUCAUGCGUACAUGACUUUUUAACAGCCUUGACGGACUUGGUUGGGAUAGCCCUAGGCCAAGGUAUCCUUGACAACUAAGUAUGAGAAUGAUUUUGGCAUGAGCCAAGCUUUUCAGGAAAUCAUAAGCCUCGUUGUUUUUUUGGGUGAAAUAAAUCUAUUUUAUCCUAUGAAAAUGAGUUCGAAAUGCUGCGAAUCAUCUUUACGCAAAUCUAUUUUAUCUGUCUCCAUUUACUCAGCUUUAGAUAUUUUAGAUGGUAUUUGUUUACUCAUUGGGAUUAUAUAAUCUCACCACCCUCAUUUCCACCCAUUUCAGGCUCAAGAUAGUUUGUAGAUAGCUGAUAUCGUCGAAGGCUACAGUUGGCUUUACUUCCUCAAAAACUGUAGGUUCACAGCCUUCAUUACUUUUAGUCAUUU
This 1845-nucleotide long non-coding RNA is filed under the name Theobroma cacao (cacao). RNAcentral's name for it is "long non-coding RNA (TCAC_LNC000891)". Lineage: Eukaryota; Viridiplantae; Streptophyta; Magnoliopsida; Malvales; Malvaceae. The record is from RNAcentral.